AAGGAUUUAAGUUAAAUAAACUUUUAACCUUCAAAGUUAAAAAUGAAGAUUAAAUUCUUUAAGCCUUA
RNAcentral lists this transfer RNA (68 nucleotides) under Serica sp. NS-2020. Its description in RNAcentral is "tRNA-Trp". It matches the Rfam family "tRNA". Rfam says of the family: Transfer RNA (tRNA) molecules are approximately 80 nucleotides in length. The record is from RNAcentral. Lineage: Eukaryota; Metazoa; Arthropoda; Insecta; Coleoptera; Scarabaeidae.